Molecule: microRNA precursor, 104 nt
Filed under: Procavia capensis (Cape rock hyrax)
Lineage: Eukaryota; Metazoa; Chordata; Mammalia; Hyracoidea; Procaviidae
Description: miRNA (ENSPCAG00000019043.1)
Rfam family: mir-450 microRNA precursor family (bases 17-94)
Source: RNAcentral
CUGAUCAAAGAAAAAAGCUCAACUAUUUUUGUGAUGUGUUCCUAAUAUUGUGUAUAAAUAUAUUGGGAACAUUUUGCAUUUGUGGUUUUGUAUCAAUAUACAGA